GAUGAACGCUGGCGGCGUGCCUAAUACAUGCAAGUCGAGCGAACGGACGAGAAGCUUGCUUUUCUGAUGUUAGCGGCGGACGGGUGAGUAACACGUGGAUAACCUACCUAUAAGACUGGGAUAACUUCGGGAAACCGGAGCUAAUACCGGAUAAUAUUUUGAACCGCAUGGUUCAAAAGUGAAAGACGGUCUUGCUGUCACUUAUAGAUGGAUCCGCGCUGCAUUAGCUAGUUGGUAAGGUAACGGCUUACCAAGGCAACGAUGCAUAGCCGACCUGAGAGGGUGAUCGGCCACACUGGAACUGAGACACGGUCCAGACUCCUACGGGAGGCAGCAGUAGGGAAUCUUCCGCAAUGGGCGAAAGCCUGACGGAGCAACGCCGCGUGAGUGAUGAAGGUCUUCGGGUCGUAAAGCUCUGUUAUUAGGGAAGAACAUAUGUGUAAGUAACUGUGCACAUCUUGACGGUACCUAAUCAGAAAGCCACGGCUAACUACGUG
This 497-nucleotide ribosomal RNA is filed under the name uncultured bacterium. Its description in RNAcentral is "partial 16S ribosomal RNA". It matches the Rfam family "Bacterial small subunit ribosomal RNA", at positions 28 to 507 of the family's 1533-position model. The record is from RNAcentral.